Drosophila virilis is the source of this 886-nucleotide long non-coding RNA. RefSeq lists it as uncharacterized. The record is from RefSeq and is a predicted model, not a curated record. NCBI's taxonomy places the organism in Eukaryota, Metazoa, Arthropoda, Insecta, Diptera, Drosophilidae.
GAUAAGGUAAAAACGUUCGCACAAAUUUAAACGAUUUUUGUAAGUGAGGCUGUGCAGUUGCAAGUUCAAAAUAACAGCCAGGUACACAUCAUUUUCAUAGUUCUUAGCUUUGUAGCCAGUACGAAAGGAACAGCCUGAGUACAGGCCUGUGACAAAGUAAAAAUAAAAAUAAACAUUAAAAAGUAUAUCUUCGUGUAAAGUGAAUACAAAUUAAGCCAUUAGCAUUGAUCCAGUCAUUUGUUAUAUCGUCGUAGUAAUCUCUUUUUCGGUGUCAAUCUUUUAAGUAAAUAACGACCAAAAUGUAGACCCUUGCUUUACUAUCUGUGCAUGUCAUUGGAUGAUUUUUGUCGCUGUUACUUUUGAAAAGUGUAACAGCAGUAACUAGUUACUUUUAAAUACUAAACAGGUUGAGUAAAUAGCGCUCGUCCCUAAUUCAAGCCAUAACAAAUUGACAAUGACAAACAUUUGUAAAGUGUAAUACCGGAAACUAAAUUAAAUAAAUGCUAUUCCAUUGGUUAAUUGGCAUGGUAUAAAAUAAAACAUAUGAACAUACAGUAGCCUGCUAACACAACACAGGGGAUUCCUGCAAGUCGAGGUAGUAGAUUGGUGCUAGAGCUUAUUGGCUCUCAGGCAUGGAGACCCCUACCAAUGUGUUUUAUAGGGACAUUUUACAUGGGCCUGUCAUAGGAAGGCGGUAAUUGACAUGUCUAGCUUUAGAGAUGUUGAUGCUGAUUUCAAUGGCCAUCAUAAUAACCCUUCACAAGGUUAACGUUUAAUUAAUUUACUAGGACAAGGUCGCCUUGGUGCAUCUGUAAUUUUUUAAUGAAUUCUAUUAUAACUUAUGCAGGCAUACAUAUGUGUCAUCUGCAGCUACGCAUGCACCUUA